UUUGAAUUGGAUUGGAGGUGAUGAGGAAAGGAAAAAAAAAAAGUUCACUAUGACCCUUAGGAGUUUAUUAAAAAAAAAAAAAAGGGAUAGGAUGAUAGCAGGGAAUGUGGAGUGUCAAUGAUUUUUUAAAAAGGAGGACCUCCCUGCCAGUUAAAGUAAGCCAUGUCACCCAUGGAUUUGGAGAUGGGUAACCAUGUCAAAGAAAUGAUGGCUGCAAAAUUAAACUUAAAUUUAUAAACUCAACAUUGAAAUCUCAUAUAUAAGAGAAAAAUUUAGAUUUGAGCAGAGGGGAUUUCUUUUUUCCUACUCUCAGACUACAUUUGAGACUCCUUUGGCUUUGAGAGGAUUAUCAGAGAGAACCCACAGAAAUAGGAUGUGUGCAGAAAGAGACUCUCUUCAAAGAUUUUUUUGCCAAGUCUUACAUGCUCUGGAAAUGUUAAAAGCCUUUUGGGAAUAUGUUGAUGUUGAAAGAAGUUAAUACAUUCCACAUGCUUCUAUGAUUUUCUAUUAAGUUCAAGUUAUUUUACUCACAAAAAGUAACACAAUAAAUCCUUUUG
This is a long non-coding RNA of Zalophus californianus (California sea lion), 557 nucleotides long. RefSeq lists it as uncharacterized. The record is from RefSeq and is a predicted model, not a curated record. The transcript is spliced from 3 exons. NCBI's taxonomy places the organism in Eukaryota, Metazoa, Chordata, Mammalia, Carnivora, Otariidae.